GUGAAGCCCAGCUUGCUGGGUGGAUCAGUGGCGAACGGGUGAGUAACACGUGAGCAACCUGCCCUCCACUUCGGGAUAAGCCUUGGAAACGGGGUCUAAUACCGGAUAUGAGCUCGCAUCGCAUGGUGUGGGUUGGAAAGUUUUUCGGUGGGGGAUGGGCUCGCGGCCUAUCAGCUUGUUGGUGGGGUGAUGGCCUACCAAGGCGUCGACGGGUAGCCGGCCUGAGAGGGCGACCGGCCACACUGGGACUGAGACACGGCCCAGACUCCUACGGGAGGCAGCAGUGGGGAAUAUUGCACAAUGGGCGCAAGCCUGAUGCAGCGACGCCGCGUGAGGGAUGACGGCCUUCGGGUUGUAAACCUCUUUCAGCAGGGAAGAAGCGCAAGUGACGGUACCUGCAGAAGAAGCGCCGGCUAACUACGUGCCAGCAGCCGCGGUAAUACGUAGGGCGCAAGCGUUGUCCGGAAUUAUUGGGCGUAAAGAGCUCGUAGGCGGUCUGUCGCGUCUGGUGUGAAAUCCCGAGGCUCAACCUCGGGCUUGCAUCGGGUACGGGCAGACUAGAGUGCGGUAGGGGAGACUGGAAUUCCUGGUGUAGCGGUGGAAUGCGCAGAUAUCAGGAGGAACACCGAUGGCGAAGGCAGGUCUCUGGGCCGCAACUGACGCUGAGGAGCGAAAGCAUGGGGAGCGAACAGGAUUAGAUACCCUGGUAGUCCAUGCCGUAAACGUUGGGCACUAGGUGUGGGGCUCAUUCCACGAGUUCCGUGCCGCAGCUAACGCAUUAAGUGCCCCGCCUGGGGAGUACGGCCGCAAGGCUAAAACUCAAAGGAAUUGACGGGGGCCCGCACAAGCGGCGGAGCAUGCGGAUUAAUUCGAUGCAACGCGAAGAACCUUACCAAGGCUUGACAUGUACGAGAAAGCCCCCGAGACGGGGUUCUCUUUGGACACUCGUACACAGGUGGUGCAUGGUUGUCGUCAGCUCGUGUCGUGAGAUGUUGGGUUAAGUCCCGCAACGAGCGCAACCCUCGUCCUAUGUUGCCAGCGGGUUAUGCCGGGGACUCAUGGGAGACUGCCGGGGUCAACUCGGAGGAAGGUGGGGAUGACGUCAAAUCAUCAUGCCCCUUAUGUCUUGGGCUUCACGCAUGCUACAAUGGCCGGUACAGAGGGCUGCGAUACCGUAAGGUGGAGCGAAUCCCAAAAAGCCGGUCUCAGUUCGGGUUGGGGUCUGCAACUCGACCCCAUGAAGUCGGAGUC
This 1251-nucleotide ribosomal RNA is filed under the name uncultured bacterium. RNAcentral describes it as "bacterial SSU rRNA". It matches the Rfam family "Bacterial small subunit ribosomal RNA", at positions 68 to 1333 of the family's 1533-position model. The record is from RNAcentral.